RNAcentral lists this long non-coding RNA (903 nucleotides) under Malus domestica (apple). RNAcentral's name for it is "long non-coding RNA (MDOM_LNC000927)". Lineage: Eukaryota; Viridiplantae; Streptophyta; Magnoliopsida; Rosales; Rosaceae. The record is from RNAcentral.
AGUUUGUGACCUUCGCUAGAUUGCUCCGGUCACUAGUGUGGAUAAGUAUGUAAAGGGAUAGAGACAGGGAAGCAAACACAAGAUGUACGUGGUUUACCCAGAUUGGCUAUGUCCACGGAGUAGAGGAGUUCUCAAUAAUUGUGAAGGGUUUACACAAGUACAUAGGUUCAAGCUCUCCUUUAGUGAGUACUAGUGAAUGAUGCAGUACAAAUGACAUUAGGAAAUAUUGUGAGAGAAUGAUCUCUAUUUAUAGAAGAGAGUUUCUAGUUUCAUUCUUACAUUGACACGUGUCGUAUUGUGAUUGGCUUAUGAUGUUGACACGUGUCGCGCUAUGAUUGGAUUUUGAUGUCGACACGUGUCGCGCUGUGAUAGGCCUCUGAUUGGAGGGAAACUCUUCUGGGUCGUUGAGGGUAUAACGUUGACCGGUGCACAGUAGUUUCAGGAUUGGUCAAGUAUGGUACAAACAUACUUAAUGGAAGUAUAACAUUAACUCUACGUUAUUGUUUAAUCUAUUGUUUUGAUGCGAUACAAAUUCUACGAAGGGUUUUUCAACGAUCCAAUCGUUAAACUUGUUUGUACACACUUCGAGAUCGCAUAAAUAAAAAAUCACAAAAAACAAACAUUAAGAGAUAAGGUAACAGAACAAAAGUUUUCGACGGUUAUAAAUGAAAAAUCACAAUUUAAUGGUUACUUUAGCUCCGAUUUUGAUGAUUUUUUACAGCUACACUCCUUGACCUUAUAAGAAUGCAUUGAAGGAAUUCGAUCUUCAAUUUAAAAUAUUUACACUAGUGGAUACCACAAAAUCUUAUUUUAUACUUGAUGGGGAAGUAUAACAUUAACUCUAAGUGUUUAUUUAAUCUACUGUUUUGACUCGAUAUGUGUUUGUACCAUACUUGACCAAUC